RNAcentral lists this ribosomal RNA (496 nucleotides) under uncultured bacterium. Its description in RNAcentral is "partial 16S ribosomal RNA". It matches the Rfam family "Bacterial small subunit ribosomal RNA", at positions 29 to 507 of the family's 1533-position model. The record is from RNAcentral.
AUGCACGCUGGCGGCGUGCCUAAUCCAUGCAAGUCGAGCGAACAGACGAGGAGCUUGCUCCUCUGACGUUAGCGGCGGACGGGUGAGUAACACGUGGAUAACCUACCUAUAAGACUGGGAUAACUUCGGGAAACCGGAGCUAAUACCGGAUAAUAUAUUGAACCGCAUGGUUCAAUAGUGAAAGACGGUUUUGCUGUCACUUAUAGAUGGAUCCGCGCCGCAUUAGCUAGUUGGUAAGGUAACGGCUUACCAAGGCAACGAUGCGUAGCCGACCUGAGAGGGUGCUCGGCCACACUGGAACUGAGACACGGUCCAGACUCCUACGGGAGGCAGCAGUAGGGAAUCUUCCGCAAUGGGCGAAAGCCUGACGGAGCAACGCCGCGUGAGUGAUGAAGGUCUUCGGAUCGUAAAACUCUGUUAUUAGGGAAGAACAAAUGUGUAAGUAACUAUGCACGUCUUGACGGUACCUAAUCAGAAAGCCACGGCUAACUACGUG